GCGCCCGUAGCUCAGCAGGAUAGAGCAGCGGUUUCCUAAACCGCAGGUCGGAGGUUCGAAUCCUCUCGGGCGCG
This 74-nucleotide transfer RNA is filed under the name Pseudomonadota bacterium. RNAcentral describes it as "tRNA-Arg". It matches the Rfam family "tRNA". Rfam says of the family: Transfer RNA (tRNA) molecules are approximately 80 nucleotides in length. Lineage: Bacteria; Pseudomonadati; Pseudomonadota. The record is from RNAcentral. RNAcentral also lists the same sequence under 5 other names.